UCCCUGCUGGCUCAGCUGGUAGAGAAUCUGCCUGCAAUGCAGGAGACCUGGGUUCAAUCCCUGGGUUGGGAC
RNAcentral lists this transfer RNA (72 nucleotides) under Ovis aries (sheep). It matches the Rfam family "tRNA". Rfam says of the family: Transfer RNA (tRNA) molecules are approximately 80 nucleotides in length. Their secondary structure includes four short double-helical elements and three loops (D, anti-codon, and T loops). Further hydrogen bonds mediate the characteristic L-shaped molecular structure. tRNAs have two regions of fundamental functional importance: the anti-codon, which is responsible for specific mRNA codon recognition, and the 3' end, to which the tRNAs corresponding amino acid is attached (by aminoacyl-tRNA synthetases). tRNAs cope with the degeneracy of the genetic code in two manners: having more than one tRNA (with a specific anti-codon) for a particular amino acid; and 'wobble' base-pairing, i.e. permitting non-standard base-pairing at the 3rd anti-codon position. The record is from Rfam by way of RNAcentral. Lineage: Eukaryota; Metazoa; Chordata; Mammalia; Artiodactyla; Bovidae.